Long non-coding RNA from Apus apus (common swift), 1532 nucleotides. RefSeq lists it as uncharacterized. NCBI's taxonomy places the organism in Eukaryota, Metazoa, Chordata, Aves, Apodiformes, Apodidae. The record is from RefSeq and is a predicted model, not a curated record. The transcript has 4 exons.
GCGGGCAGGGCUGGGGGGGUCGGGCCGGGAGGUGGGACCGCGGCUCUGCCCGGACCCCCGGCACUGCCCGCCCCCCCCCCCCAGCCCGGCACCCCCCGUUCCAUCCCCCCCGUGUGCAGAAGCAGCUGGGCAAUGUGGGACCUCUGCAAAGCACAAGGGAUGGGGCAAGGCCCAUCCCACCCACCAGAUGGGGCACUUGUGUCAUGAACUGGUGGGUACUUGGAGGAGAAGAAACCUGCCCAGGGUACUUGUGUCAUGGAUUAGUGGGCACUUGGAGAAGAGCAUAUCUUGAUGAAAUUCACCACGAUGUCAGAGGAUCUGGAUGGUCUAGAAGUGCUGAUCAGGGAUUAGAGCCAGUCCUGUUACCACCAGUGUGGGACUCGCCGGCCUCCCCUCUUCUCUUCACUUCACUUCAUUUCACUUCACUUUGCUUCACUUCACUUCACUUCACUUCACUUCACAGUGCUCAUGGCAAGUGGUGCCCAAGCAGGGACUGAACACGACGUCCUACCAAGCACAGGACUCUGGGCUCUGCACUGGCUGCACGUAGAGAAGAGUUAAGACGUGUUUAACCCUCCAGAUGGAGGUUUUUAAAUCAGUCAGAAGACCAGGUGUGGUGGAGGCUGCGGCAGCUACGAGUGAGGGGCAGGACCAUGAUAGGGAAGAAGAUGCAUUUGAACCCCAAGACACACUGAGAGCACAAGAAAAGGAGCCCCCUGAGCACCAACCUGCAACUCCUUCUGCACCUUCAGCACCUCGAACCUCGGCUGCUCCUGUGCUGCAGGUGUUCUGGUUUGGUUGGGUGGGGUUUUUGGUAGCAGGGCCCUUCUCCCUGCUCCCAACCAGCCAAGGAGCCAUUCGAGGGACCAUGGAUGAACCUCUGCCAUUAACAUGCAAAAGAACUGAUGCAGCACCUGAGCUGAGGAGCACUUAAAGGAGAAGAGCUGGGCUGGGGAAGGAGUGCACUGCUGGUGGUUGGAGAGGAAGAAGGUGCCUAAGCAGAAGGUGCCUAAGCAGAAGUUUCCCUGCAGCCCACAGGGAGAUGGCAGCUGUGCCCCUGCACCCAUGGAGGAACAUGGUGGGACAUUCCCUGAAGGCACCAGGAGGGCUGAACUUGACCAGUGGACUUGGGUUUUGAGGCCAGUGGCCUCGGAUGGUGCAGCUGUGGAAGCCCCCGGGGCAGGGGAGGUGCCUGUUCCUGAAGCCCCCGGGACUGGAGCAGCUCCAGUGGGAAGGACUGAUGGAGGAGAGGUUGGUGGAGGACUCUGCCAUGGGAGGGACCCGUGGGGAAGCAGGGACAGACUGUCAGGAAUCCUUCUCCCUGAGGAGCAAGGAGCAGCAGGAACCACCAGCCCAUGCAGGGACCCUAAACCCCAUCCCCCUGUGCCUGGGGGGAAGGGGGGAGAGACACUGGGAACAAAAGGAUUUGGGAAGAAGGGAGAGGUGGGGUGAGGUGUGUGAGCCCUGCUCUGUGUGUCGGUGUCCCGUGGGUGUUUGCUGAGUGUGAAAUGAAAGUAUUAUUUUUUCCCCAA